This 141-nucleotide ribosomal RNA is filed under the name uncultured eukaryote. Its description in RNAcentral is "partial 18S ribosomal RNA". It matches the Rfam family "Eukaryotic small subunit ribosomal RNA", at positions 1299 to 1458 of the family's 1831-position model. The record is from RNAcentral.
UGGUGGAGUGAUUUGUCUGGUUAAUUCCGUUAACGAACGAGACCCCCGCCUGCUAAAUAGACUGGUGAAUGAUUCUUCAUUAACCUGGUCUUCUUAGAGGGACUUUUGGUGACUAACCGAAGGAAGUUGGGGGCAAUAACA